AUGUUGUGAAAAAAAGAGAGAAAAAUCUGGACAAAUUGUUUCCAAAAAAGUGGAAUUGAAUCGAAAGAUCAUGUGGUUCAAGAUCUACAGUAACAACAUGGUGGUUUGGUUGGUGUUACUGCUUCUGGGUUCGAGCCUUCUCUUCAGUUCAAUUGCUUCCGCUUCCCUUUCCUCUUCGACUGACACCACCAUGCACACUAACAACUGGGCUGUCUUGGUCUGCACCUCUCGCUUCUGGUUUAAUUAUCGACACAUGGCUAAUACUUUAUCUUUGUAUAGGACUGUUAAGCGACUAGGAAUACCUGAUGAGAGGAUAAUACUCAUGUUGGCAGAUGAUAUGGCUUGCAAUCCCAGGAACAAGUACCCUG
This 368-nucleotide unclassified non-coding RNA is filed under the name Hevea brasiliensis (rubber tree). Lineage: Eukaryota; Viridiplantae; Streptophyta; Magnoliopsida; Malpighiales; Euphorbiaceae. The record is from RNAcentral.